Molecule: long non-coding RNA, 927 nt
Organism: Melospiza georgiana
Lineage: Eukaryota; Metazoa; Chordata; Aves; Passeriformes; Passerellidae
Exons: 4
Source: RefSeq, a predicted model, not a curated record
UGCUCACCAUAAUUCAGUGUAGAGCCAAAGGGAAGGGUGAUGGAACAGAGCUCUGUGCUUUGGAAGGAAAUAAAUUUAAACCUGAUCUCCGCACAGAGUCUCACUAACUUCUGUGGUUUUAAAAUACAAAAUACGUUUAGGAAGUGUUGGAAGUUAGUAUUUUGGGAAAGAAACGGCAGUUCCACAGAACAUUCCAUUUCACAGAGGCUCUAGGAAGGAUUCAUGUUGUAACUGCUGUCACUGCAAUCAGUUGGUGGUUCAGCCUUGAAACGUGCACUUGGCCUUCUAUAAAGCGCUGUUUUGUUUGCCUUUCAUUGCUAUGAGUCUUGAUAAAUUGGAGAAGAGCCCAAGAGAAAUUUUUCAUCCCUUGAUAUAAAAGGGAUCGGUGAAUUUUAACUUUGGAGUCCUCUAUGCUAAGGAUGCUCAGCUUACAGAUGAUGAAAUGUUCAGUAAUGGGAAAGACUCUCAUAUCCUCGUCGUCGGGCUCGGUGCUGUCCAAGAAGAUACAGAGACUAAAAAAAUCAUAAGAAGCAAAAUAUGACUGCAGGGAAAAGAAGCUGGAGAGAACAGAAGAAAUGGAAUUGGGACGACGCCUCGGCCAGCCCCUCUCUGCCAUCGUCUCCUGAAUCUGCAGCAGAGCAGUUCCAGUCCAUCCGGGCACGUGCAAUCCAGUUCCUGAUGAUCUGAGCACACGGAGCAGCACUCAGCUGCUGUGGGGGCUCAGGGAAGGCAGAGUGUGCAUUGUCAUCUUCCUGAACCUACAGACGAAUCAAAGUGAGAAGCCACAGGGUGGAAAUCAGUUGCAUAUAUGCUAAACAAAACUUGCAGGUUGUUUUUAAGAAUUGUUUUUGCUUGUUCUUUGUUGUGCUUCUGUGCUUAGAAAACCUCCCUUUAAAAUCAGUUCAGUUCAUCAGUUGAACCUUUGUU